AUUUGUUUACACAUUUUUUGCAUGCACAGUUAUAAGCAAUUUGCAAGACAAAUAUGGCAUUAAAGGGUCAUGAAUCUAUAUAUAAAUCCCAAAAUAUCCACAUGAGACUGUAUUUCAUGAUUGCUGAAAGGCAAUAGUGAACAGUAAUUCAGGCCAGCAUAUGCUUUUACAUUUAAAUGAAUAAGAAAAGGGUACCAUGGCAAAGAGAAGAAAUAGAUAAAUGGGGACAGGGAGUGAAGUGGAAUCUCCCUGUGAAUGUGGAGGCAGAGGUAUAGAAAGGGGUGUGAGUGGACUUACGAAGACUUGACAGCAGAGUGUGUAUAUGUGUGAGCAAGCCCAUUGCAGACUGAGAAGGAGGGUCCCGGGUGUUCCUAUCUACUCCAGGACCUUGCUAGUCCCUCUGGGACCUGAUCCCUGCUUCUCAACCUGAUGCUAGGCCCUGAAGUAGCUAUUCCAGCCCCUCUGGGUCUCACUUCUGCCUUACAAUAUUUUACCACCUGGAUGCUAGCUUCCCAUGCUGAUUAUAAAAAAUAGUGAGCAACAAUAAGAACAGUGACUCAAAUGCAUUGCUGACACAUUAUUGAAUUUGACUCACUGAAUAUGAGAGGGAUUUUCUAAUUUUUCUAGCAAGGAAACUGAGCUUUAUAGUAAAGAAAAAUAAAUGAAAUCCAGAUUUGAAAGAAAAUGUUCAUUAACAGGAACAUAAUUACAGGAACUACCAAACUGGAUCAGAUUCAAGUCCCUAGUUCAGCAACCCGUCUCCAUCUGUGACCAGUACCAGAUGCACCAGAGGAAGGUGCACAAAACCUUGCAGUAGGCAGAUAUUAAUUAAUUUGUUUCCAGUAAAGGUCUCAUCAUUCUAUUCCCUAACAGAAAUUGGUUUAAACUUUGUUGCAUGUGAUUUAUAUGUAACUUUCAUAUUCUUUUGUUAUAAUUAACAAUGAUGGCUGGUCAGGUUGCCAGGUGUCCAGUUUUCAGCCAGAACACCCAGUCAAAAAGGGACCCUGAUGGCUCCAGUCAGCACUGCUACCAGGCCAUUAAAACUGCAGUCAAUAGUAGCUGUGGAGGAGGAUGCCAGUGGUGAGAAUAAUGCACAGAGCCCCCUGGCCAUAACUAAAUCUUGGAGUUGGGAGAACAUGCCAGCUGCUUCUGUGAGCAACCAGAGAGUUACUAAUAAACACAGCUGAAAAUGGAAGCCAUCCUCGUUGGCAUUCAGCAGCAGCUCAGUGAAUCAGUGUUAAUCCUUCUGUUUUCCUUCUAAAUGCUGUGCUGCAAACACUUGAUCAGAGAGCCUUCUGUUUGCAAUGGAGACUCAACAGAAGAAGACUUUUGCAAAGCAGGUGACUUCCUGGACAUGGGAGCACAGCCAAAUUUUGGUGAAUCUCUGGUGUAAGGACAACAAAACUGGACUUUAGUAAAAGAUUCUAGGAAUGACCACACAUACCAGCAGAAAGCUAAAAAGUUCACUACUUUGCAAAUUUACCAGUGCAAAGAACAGGUUAAGUAGCAGAAGUGUGAGUGCUGGAAAAUCGGGGACCAGAAUACUGGGUAACUCACCAACCCCAUGCCUGUUGUAUGGGGGAGUUUGACUCUGCACUACCCAGAGCCAGCCAUUGUGUCUGCUGGUUUGGUCAGCCAGGAUGGUUCCCUGAAGGCCCCCAAAAUUCCUUCUAGUGGUGGAUGAGAGCCAACAGCAGGCAUCAAGUGAGGACUAUGAAGUAAAUCUGCAUCUGAAACCAGGCCCAGAGCAGGCUUUGGAACAGGAGGAUCAGCAGCAAACUCUUGGGCUGUACUCAGAGGAGAAAUUUGACCCCUCCCUGCCUUGCCCAUUGCAGUGGGGCCUGCAGGAGACAUGGAUGGGACAGAAGCUGCCCCUGAACCUGAUUCUCCCAGAACACAGCUUGGUUAAUCACUGUGAAAGAAGUUCAAAGACAAUGUAUUAAUUUCAAGCAGUAAAUCGUGCCAACCUACAAGAGAGAUGGUGAACCAAAAGGAGGAGAGUUCAUUCACUAAUGAUCCAGUUUCUGCAUAUAUCCCAAUAUCUUUUGUAAUUUCUCUUAAUUUCUACAGUGCUGAUUGCAUAUUCUGUCUCUGAAACCAAAGAGCUUUGAUAUUUCCAAUUUUGCUUUCCUACCUUGUGUCAGAGAUUUUCACAUAGUAUUUCAGAACUGUCCACAUAACCAUUGAAGUUGCAAACAUUGUGACAUUUAUUGAAGAAUUCAAAUUUUUUUUGAUCCAUGUGAGGUAUUUGCUGCAUCAUUCAUCAGUAAAUUUUGGGACUAGCAUC
Molecule: non-coding RNA, 2287 nt
Organism: Pelodiscus sinensis (Chinese soft-shelled turtle)
Lineage: Eukaryota; Metazoa; Chordata; Testudines; Trionychidae
Source: RefSeq, a predicted model, not a curated record